AGAUGGCGACCGGCGCACGGGUGAGUAACACGUAUCCAACCUGCCGAUAACUCGGGGAUAGCCUUUAGAAAGAAAGAUUAAUACCCGAUGGUAUAAUCAGACCGCAUGGUUUGAUUAUUAAAGAAUUUCGGUUAUCGAUGGGGAUGCGUUCCAUUAGGCAGUUGGUGAGGUAACGGCUCACCAAACCUUCGAUGGAUAGGGGUUCUGAGAGGAAGGUCCCCCACAUUGGAACUGAGACACGGUCCAA
Molecule: ribosomal RNA, 247 nt
Filed under: uncultured bacterium
Lineage: Bacteria
Description: partial 16S ribosomal RNA
Rfam family: Bacterial small subunit ribosomal RNA
Source: RNAcentral